ACACCGCGUGAGUGAAGAAGGGUUUCGGCUCGUAAAACUCUGUUGUUAAAGAAGAACGUAUCUAAGAGUAACUGCUUAGGUAGUGACGGUAUUUAACCAGAAAGCCACGGCUAACUACGUGCCAGCAGCCGCGGUAAUACGUAGGUGGCAAGCGUUAUCCGGAUUUAUUGGGCGUAAAGCGAGCGCAGGCGGUUUUUUAAGUCUGAUGUGAAAGCCUUCGGCUUAACCGAAGAAGUGCAUCGGAAACUGGGAAACUUGAGUGCAGAAGAGGACAGUGGAACUCCAUGUGUAGCGGUG
RNAcentral lists this ribosomal RNA (297 nucleotides) under uncultured Lactobacillus sp. RNAcentral describes it as "partial 16S rRNA". It matches the Rfam family "Bacterial small subunit ribosomal RNA", at positions 394 to 683 of the family's 1533-position model. The record is from RNAcentral. Lineage: Bacteria; Bacillati; Bacillota; Bacilli; Lactobacillales; Lactobacillaceae.